RNAcentral lists this ribosomal RNA (331 nucleotides) under uncultured eukaryote. Its description in RNAcentral is "partial 18S ribosomal RNA". It matches the Rfam family "Eukaryotic small subunit ribosomal RNA", at positions 1470 to 1796 of the family's 1831-position model. The record is from RNAcentral.
CCCUUAGAUGUUCUGGGCCGCACGCGCGCUACACUGUUCGACGCAGCGAGUCUUAACCUUGACCGAAAGGUUUGGGUAAUCUUCAGCAAAGUCGAACGUGAUGGGGAUCGAUCAUUGCAAUUAUUGAUCGUGAACGAGGAAUUCCUAGUAAGUGCAAGUCACCAGCUUGCGCUGAUUACGUCCCUGCCCUUUGUACACACCGCCCGUCGCUACUACCGAUUGAAUGGUUUAGUGAGAUCUCUGGAUUGACGCUGGCUAGGGGGCGACCCUUGGCCAGACUGUUGAGAAACUGCUCAAACUUGAUCAUUUAGAGGAAGUAAAAGUCGUAACA